Molecule: ribosomal RNA, 473 nt
Filed under: Marionina southerni
Lineage: Eukaryota; Metazoa; Annelida; Clitellata; Enchytraeida; Enchytraeidae
Description: partial 16S ribosomal RNA
Rfam family: Bacterial large subunit ribosomal RNA
Source: RNAcentral
AGUUUUUUGAAAUCUGAUAAAAAACAUAUAUCCUGCCCAGUGAAUAUUCAACGGCUGCGGUACCCUAACCGUACAAAGGUAGCAUAAUAAUUUGCCCAUUAAUUGUGGGAUAGAAUGAAUGGAAAAAUGAGAGAAAGACUGUAUCAUUUUUACCACUAAAAACUAAUAUUCAAGUGAAGAAGCUUGAAUAAAUCUAACGGACAAGAAGACCCUAUAGAGCUUUAAUUUAAAUAGAUAGCAUCUAUUCACAUUUCGGUUGGGGCGACCAAGGAAUAAUCAUCCUAUAAACUAAGAUUUACAAAUCUUUAUAAAGAUCCUAUAAUAGAUCAAAGAAUCAAGUUACCUUAGGGAUAACAGGCUAAUUUUAUUUAAGAGUUCUUAUCUACAAUAAAGAUUGGCACCUCGAUGUUGGCUUAGAAUUUCUACUAAACGCAAAAGUUUAAACAGAGGGUUUGUUCAACCCACAAUAUUCU